ACUCUAAGCGGUGGAUCACUCGGCUCAUGGGUCGAUGAAGAACGCAGCAAACUGUGCGUCAUCGUGUGAACUGCAGGACACAUGAACAUCGACAUUUUGAACGCAUAUCGCAGUCCAUGCUGUUAUGUACUUUAAUUAAUUUUAUAGUGCUGCUUGGACUACAUAUGGUUGAGGGUUGUAAGACUAUGCUAAUUAAGUUGCUUAUAAAUUUUUAUAAGCAUAUGGUAUAUUAUUGGAUAAAUAUAAUAAUUUUUAUUCAUAAUAUUAAAAAAUAAAUGAAAAACAUUAUCUCACAUUUGAAUGUGAAAAACGAAGAGAAAUAUUUUCUUUUUCAAUCAAAUAAUACUGAGAAAUGUCUAGCAUAAAAAAUUGAAAUAUUUUUCAUCUAGAAUUGUCUCUUAUUAAUGAUUCGGAAAUAGAAAAAUCUUGGUUAUGUUAUUAUUCUUCGUUGGUUCGUUAAAAAUGGAUAAAUAAAAACUUUGCAUACAAGAAUUAAUAAAAAUGUUAUAACGAAUUUAAUUAAAUGUUUUAUCAUUAUAUAUAAAGAAUUUAUGGCAAGAUAAAGUUAUAUACAACCUCAACUCAUAUGGGACUACCCCCUGAAUUUAAGCAUAUUAAUUAGGGGAGGAAAAGAAACUAACAAGGAUUUUCUUAGUAGCGGCGAGCGAAAAGAAAACAGUUCAGCACUAAGUCACUUUGUCUAUAUGGCAAAUGUGAGAUGCAGUGUAUGGAGCGUCAAUAUUCUAGUAUGAGAAAUUAACGAUUUAAGUCCUUCUUAAAUGAGGCCAUUUACCCAUAGAGGGUGCCAGGCCCGUAUAACGUUAAUGAUUACUAGAUGAUGUUUCCAAAGAGUCGUGUUGCUUGAUAGUGCAGCACUAAGUGGGUGGUAAACUCCAUCUAAAACUAAAUAUAACCAUGAGACCGAUAGUAAACAAGUACCGUGAGGGAAAGUUGAAAAGAACUCUGAAUAGAGAGUUAAACAGUACGUGAAACUGCUUAGAGGUUAAGCCCGAUGAACCUGAAUAUCCGUUAUGGAAAAUUCAUCAUUAAAAUUGUAAUAUUUAAAUAAUAUUAUGAGAAUAGUGUGCAUUUUUUCCAUAUAAGGACAUUGUAAUCUAUUAGCAUAUACCAAAUUUAUCAUAAAAUAUAACUUAUAGUUUAUUCCAAUUAAAUUGCUUGCAUUUUAACACAGAAUAAAUGUUAUUAAUUUGAUAAAGUGCUGAUAGAUUUAUAUGAUUACAGUGCGUUAAUUUUUCGGAAUUAUAUAAUGGCAUAAUUAUCAUUGAUUUUUGUGUUUAUUAUAUGCACUUGUAUGAUUAACAAUGCGAAAGAUUCAGGAUACCUUCGGGACCCGUCUUGAAACACGGACCAAGGAGUCUAACAUAUGUGCAAGUUAUUGGGAUAUAAACCUAAUAGCGUAAUUAACUUGACUAAUAAUGGGAUUAGUUUUUUAGCUAUUUAUAGCUAAUUAACACAAUCCCGGGGCGUUCUAUAUAGUUAUGUAUAAUGUAUAUUUAUAUUAUUUAUGCCUCUAACUGGAACGUACCUUGAGCAUAUAUGCUGUGACCCGAAAGAUGGUGAACUAUACUUGAUCAGGUUGAAGUCAGGGGAAACCCUGAUGGAAGACCGAAACAGUUCUGACGUGCAAAUCGAUUGUCAGAAUUGAGUAUAGGGGCGAAAGACCAAUCGAACCAUCUAGUAGCUGGUUCCUUCCGAAGUUUCCCUCAGGAUAGCUGGUGCAUUUUAAUAUUAUAUAAAAUAAUCUUAUCUGGUAAAGCGAAUGAUUAGAGGCCUUAGGGUCGAAACGAUCUUAACCUAUUCUCAAACUUUAAAUGGGUAAGAACCUUAACUUUCUUGAUAUGAAGUUCAAGGUUAUGAUAUAAUGUGCCCAGUGGGCCACUUUUGGUAAGCAGAACUGGCGCUGUGGGAUGAACCAAACGUAAUGUUACGGUGCCCAAAUUAACAACUCAUGCAGAUACCAUGAAAGGCGUUGGUUGCUUAAAACAGCAGGACGGUGAUCAUGGAAGUCGAAAUCCGCUAAGGAGUGUGUAACAACUCACCUGCCGAAGCAACUAGCCCUUAAAAUGGAUGGCGCUUAAGUUGUAUACCUAUACAUUACCGCUAAAGUAGAUGAUUUAUAUUACUUGUGAUAUAAAUUUUGAAACUUUAGUGAGUAGGAAGGUACAAUGGUAUGCGUAGAAGUGUUUGGCGUAAGCCUGCAUGGAGCUGCCAUUGGUACAGAUCUUGGUGGUAGUAGCAAAUAAUCGAAUGAGACCUUGGAGGACUGAAGUGGAGAAGGGUUUCGUGUGAACAGUGGUUGAUCACGAGUUAGUCGGUCCUAAGUUCAAGGCGAAAGCCGAAAAUUUUCAAGUAAAACAAAAAUGCCUAACUAUAUAAACAAAGCGAAUUAUAAUACACUUGAAUAAUUUUGAACGAAAGGGAAUACGGUUCCAAUUCCGUAACCUGUUGAGUAUCCGUUUGUUAUUAAAUAUGGGCCUCGUGCUCAUCCUGGCAACAGGAACGACCAUAAAGAAGCCGUCGAGAGAUAUCGGAAGAGUUUUCUUUUCUGUUUUAUAGCCGUACUACCAUGGAAGUCUUUCGCAGAGAGAUAUGGUAGAUGGGCUAGAAGAGCAUGACAUAUACUGUUGUGUCGAUAUUUUCUCCUCGGACCUUGAAAAUUUAUGGUGGGGACACGCAAACUUCUCAACAGGCCGUACCAAUAUCCGCAGCUGGUCUCCAAGGUGAAGAGUCUCUAGUCGAUAGAAUAAUGUAGGUAAGGGAAGUCGGCAAAUUAGAUCCGUAACUUCGGGAUAAGGAUUGGCUCUGAAGAUUGAGAUAGUCGGGCUUGAUUGGGAAACAAUAACAUGGUUUAUGUGCUCGUUCUGGGUAAAUAGAGUUUCUAGCAUUUAUGUUAGUUACUUGUUCCCCGGAUAGUUUAGUUACGUAGCCAAUUGUGGAACUUUCUUGCUAAAAUUUUUAAGAAUACUAUUUGGGUUAAACCAAUUAGUUCUUAUUAAUUAUAACGAUUAUCAAUUAACAAUCAAUUCAGAACUGGCACGGACUUGGGGAAUCCGACUGUCUAAUUAAAACAAAGCAUUGUGAUGGCCCUAGCGGGUGUUGACACAAUGUGAUUUCUGCCCAGUGCUCUGAAUGUCAAAGUGAAGAAAUUCAAGUAAGCGCGGGUCAACGGCGGGAGUAACUAU
RNAcentral lists this ribosomal RNA (3203 nucleotides) under Drosophila melanogaster (fruit fly). Its description in RNAcentral is "eukaryotic LSU rRNA". The stretch from base 573 to 3203 matches the Rfam family "Eukaryotic large subunit ribosomal RNA", at positions 1 to 2266 of the family's 3401-position model. Lineage: Eukaryota; Metazoa; Arthropoda; Insecta; Diptera; Drosophilidae. The record is from RNAcentral.